GACGAACGCUGGCGGCGUGCUUAACACAUGCAAGUCGAACGGAACGGCCCUGCUUGCGGGGGGGGCUCGGGUGGCGAACGGGUGAGUAACCCGUGAGUAACCUGCCCUCGACUCCGGGAUAACGUCAGGAAACUGGGGCUAGUACCGGAUAGGAGCGCCUGCUGCAUGGUGGGGGUGGGAAUGUUUCGGCGGUUGGUGAUGGACUCGCGGCUUGUCAGCUUGUUGGUGGGGGAGUGACUUACCAAGGCUUUGACGGGUAGCUGGCCUGAGGGGGUGACCGGCCACAUUGAGACUGAGAUACGGCCCAGCCUGCUACGGGAGGCAGGAGUGGGGAAUAUAGCUCCAUGGGCGGAAGCAUGAUGGAGCAAGGCCGCGUGCGGGCUGGCGGCCUUCGGUUUGUAAGCCGCUUUCGCCUGUGAGGGAGCGUGAGUGACAGUAAUGGGUAAAGAAGCACCGGCUAACUACGUG
Molecule: ribosomal RNA, 468 nt
Filed under: uncultured bacterium
Lineage: Bacteria
Description: partial 16S ribosomal RNA
Rfam family: Bacterial small subunit ribosomal RNA
Source: RNAcentral